This 226-nucleotide ribosomal RNA is filed under the name uncultured bacterium. RNAcentral's name for it is "partial 16S ribosomal RNA". It matches the Rfam family "Bacterial small subunit ribosomal RNA", at positions 538 to 763 of the family's 1533-position model. The record is from RNAcentral.
GCGUUAUCCGGAUUUACUGGGUGUAAAGGGAGCGUAGGUGGUUCGGCAAGUCAGAUGUGAAAGCCCGGGGCUCAACCCCGGGACUGCAUUUGAAACUGUCGGACUAGAGUGCAGGAGAGGUAAGUGGAAUUCCUAGUGUAGCGGUGAAAUGCGUAGAUAUUAGGAGGAACACCAGUGGCGAAGGCGGCUUACUGGACUGUAACUGACACUGAGGCUCGAAAGCGUG